GUGCUUACUUUGGCAGCACAUAUACUAAAAAUGGAACAAUACAGACAAGAUUAGCAUGACCCCUGUGCAAGGAUGACACACAAAUCUGUGAAGCGUUCCAUAUUUUA
This 107-nucleotide small nuclear RNA is filed under the name Dasypus novemcinctus (nine-banded armadillo). The record is from RNAcentral. Lineage: Eukaryota; Metazoa; Chordata; Mammalia; Cingulata; Dasypodidae.